GAUGAACGCUGGCGGCGUGCCUAAUACAUGCAAGUCGAGCGAACGGACGAGAAGCUUGCUUCUCUGAUGUUAGCGGCGGACGGGUGAGUAACACGUGGAUAACCUACCUAUAAGACUGGGAUAACUUCGGGAAACCGGAGCUAAUACCGGAUAAUAUUUUGAACCGCAUGGUUCAAAAGUGAAAGACGGUCUUGCUGUCACUUAUAGAUGGAUCCGCGCUGCAUUAGCUAGUUGGUAAGGUAACGGCUUACCAAGGCAACGAUGCAUAGCCGACCUGAGAGGGUGAUCGGCCACACUGGAACUGAGACACGGUCCAGACUCCUACGGGAGGCAGCAGUAGGGAAUCUUCCGCAAUGGGCGAAAGCCUGACGGAGCAACGCCGCGUGAGUGAUGAAGGUCUUCGGAUCGUAAAACUCUGUUAUUAGGGAAGAACAUAUGUGUAAGUAACUGUGCACAUCUUGACGGUACCUAAUCAGAAAGCCACGGCUAACUACGUGCCAGCAGCCGCGGUAAUACGUAGGUGGCAAGCGUUAUCCGGAAUUAUUGGGCGUAAAGCGCGCGUAGGCGGUUUUUUAAGUCUGAUGUGAAAGCCCACGGCUCAACCCGUGGAGGGUCAUUGGAAACUGGAAAACUUGAGUGCAGAAGAGGAAAGUGGAAUUCCCAUGUGUAGCGGUGAAAUGCGCAGAGAUAUGGAGGAACACCAGUGGCGAAGGCGACUUUCUGGUCUGUAACUGACGCUGAUGUGCGAAAGCGUGGGGAUCAAACAGGAUUAGAUACCCUGGUAGUCCACGCCGUAAACGAUGAGUGCUAAGUGUUAGGGGGGUUUCCGCCCCUUAGUGCUGCAGCUAACGCAUUAAGCACUCCGCCUGGGGAGUACGACCGCAAGGUUGAAACUCAAAGGAAUUGACGGGGACCCGCACAAGCGGUGGAGCAUGUGGUUUAAUUCGAAGCAACGCGAAGAACCUUACCAAAUCUUGACAUCCUUUGACAACUCUAGAGAUAGAGCCUUCCCCUUCGGGGGACAAAGUGACAGGUGGUGCAUGGUUGUCGUCAGCUCGUGUCGUGAGAUGUUGGGUUAAGUCCCGCAACGAGCGCAACCCUUAAGCUUAGUUGCCAUCAUUAAGUUGGGCACUCUAAGUUGACUGCCGGUGACAAACCGGAGGAAGGUGGGGAUGACGUCAAAUCAUCAUGCCCCUUAUGAUUUGGGCUACACACGUGCUACAAUGGACAAUACAAAGGGCAGCGAAACCGCGAGGUCAAGCAAAUCCCAUAAAGUUGUUCUCAGUUCGGAUUGUAGUCUGCAACUCGACUACAUGAAGCUGGAAUCGCUAGUAAUCGUAGAUCAGCAUGCUACGGUGAAUACGUUCCCGGGUCU
This 1375-nucleotide ribosomal RNA is filed under the name uncultured bacterium. RNAcentral describes it as "bacterial SSU rRNA". It matches the Rfam family "Bacterial small subunit ribosomal RNA", at positions 28 to 1381 of the family's 1533-position model. The record is from RNAcentral.